This 482-nucleotide ribosomal RNA is filed under the name uncultured bacterium. RNAcentral's name for it is "partial 16S ribosomal RNA". It matches the Rfam family "Bacterial small subunit ribosomal RNA", at positions 28 to 507 of the family's 1533-position model. The record is from RNAcentral.
GUUGAACGCUGGCGGCAUGCUUUACACAUGCAAGUCGAACGGUAACAGGCCUCCUGGCGCUUACGAGUGGCUAACGGGCGAGUAAUUCAUCCGAACGUGCCUAGCCGGGGGGGAUGACUACCCGAACGAGAACCUAAUACCUCAUACGAACUAUGUACGAAUGCGGGGGACCGUAAUUCCUCCCGCGAUUGGUGCGGUCGAUGUCAGAUUAGGUAGUUGGUGGGGUAAAGGCACACCAAGCCAACGAUCUGUAGCUGGUCUGAGAGGACGACCAGCCACACUGGGACUGAGACACGGCCCAGACUCCUACGGGAGGCAGCAGUGGGGAAUUUUGGACAAUGGGCGAAAGCCUGAUCCAGCAAUGCCGCGUGUGGGAAGAAGGCCUUCGGGUUGUAAACUGCUUUUGUACGGAAAGAAACGGCUCUGGUUAAUACCCGCGGGUGAUGACGGUACCGUAAGAAUAAGCACCGGCUAACUACGUG